Molecule: long non-coding RNA, 1132 nt
Filed under: Homo sapiens (human)
Lineage: Eukaryota; Metazoa; Chordata; Mammalia; Primates; Hominidae
Description: HSALNT0407030
Source: RNAcentral
AACACAUCAUAAGCAGCACAUGCCUCAAUUAAAUCAUUGGCAAGAUUAGAAAGACAGCCUAGAAGUAACUUUGGGCACACACAGAGUAUUUCACAAAUGUUAUUUGAAUUGAAAAAUGGAUCUUCAAACAAGACAGAAAAGAUCCAUCUAAACUUUUACUUCAUUGGAGGGUCCUUCCUGACCCAUGCAACUCAACAAAAAACUCUCACAGUUUUUAUAUGCUUUGUUGGGGAUUAACCCAUCUUGCAUUGCAUUGCUAGCUUAGUAUGUCUAGCAUGGGCAUGCCUGCUGAAGUUUGGAACUUCCCAUCAAGGAAACAGGAAAAUGCCAUUGGCAAUGAGCUGAAGACUGAUUUACUCUACCAGUUUGGAACAUCUGUUAUUGCUGCUACUACGGUUUCUAUCACUGUUUGAUGCUGGGACUCUUAAGCUCCAACCACGUUUUCACCGAGCUGAGUCGCCUUCUUAUCACCCCUUUCUGGAGCAGCAGGACAUCUGGGGAUGAGAAGAUGGAGAGAUCAUCCUUAUAUAAUGUUGCAGUCUGGAAGCAUCACUCUCAAAAAGCCAUUGUAGAGAAUCCAAGCCGAGUUUAAGAGUGCUGUGGAAAUACACUGCUGCUACUGCUGUUUCUAUUACUGUUUGAUGCUGGGACUCUUAUGCUCCAACCACGUUUUCACCCAGCUGAGUCGCCUUCGUAUCACGCCUUUCCAGUUUUGAUAGACUAGAAAAAUGACAAGACUCCAAGUCCUUGAAGAGGAGGAAAAGUGUGAAGAAAACAAAAAAGGGAGAUUUAUGUCUGCUUCACCAUUUUGCCCAAGACUUGACCUGUCAUACACUGAAGCUCAGAGAGGAAGAAAGGACCGUGUGAGAGAAGAAGGGAACAGCCUUUCAUCCAUAGGAGAAGUUCGUCUAUGACAAAGCCACUAGCUCCAUGUGGCCGCUGAGCACUCAAAAUGUGGCCAGUCUGAAUUGAGAUAUGUUGUUAGUAUAAAGUCCACAUCGGCUUUUUGAGCACUUUGUAUGAGAAAAAAGAAUACCAAAUAUCUCCUUAAUAAUUGUUACAUUGAUUAUAUGUUGAACUGAUAACAUUAUGGAUAUAUUGGAUUAAAUAAAAUAAAUUAUUAAAAUCAAAU